This 343-nucleotide ribosomal RNA is filed under the name Candidatus Rokubacteria bacterium RIFCSPLOWO2_02_FULL_68_19. RNAcentral describes it as "bacterial LSU rRNA". It matches the Rfam family "Bacterial large subunit ribosomal RNA", at positions 2586 to 2925 of the family's 2925-position model. Lineage: Bacteria; Candidatus Rokuibacteriota. The record is from RNAcentral.
CAUUAAAGCGGUACGUGAGCUGGGUUUAGAACGUCGUGAGACAGUUCGGUCCCUAUCUGUCGCGGGCGGAGGAGGUUUGAGGGGAGCUACCCCUAGUACGAGAGGACCGGGGUGGACGGACCUCUGGUGUGCGAGCUGUUCCGCCAGGAGCAUCGCUCGGUAGCCAUGUCCGGCAGGGAUAAGCGCUGAAGGCAUCUAAGCGCGAAACCCGCCUCAAGAUGAGACCUCCCAGGGCGUAAGCCCUCUGAAGGCCCCUCGGAGACUACGAGGUUGAUAGGCCGGAGGUGUAAGCGCCGUAAGGCGUUCAGCUUACCGGUACUAAUCGGCCGUGCGGCUUGACCAC